UUUGGGCUUGGUAAUUGGAAUGAGGGAGAGUUAAACGGACCAUCGAGUAUCCAUUGGAGGGCAAGUCUGGUGCCAGCAGCUGCGGUAAUACCAGCUCCAAUAGCGUAUAUUAAAGUUGUUGCAGUUAAAAAGCUCGUAGUUGGACUUGUGUGCGCUGUCCGCGGGUGGCCUGCGCCCAAAAGGGCGUUUCGGUUCGGCCCCGGUGGCGCCUUGAAAUCUGCAGCUGGGGGGACGUUGGCCUUAACUGGUCGGCGACCGCACGCCGGCUGCUCGGUUACUGUGAGAAAAUUAGAGUGUUCGAGGCAGGCAUUGGGUGCAAUUGAAUACAUUAGCAUGGAAUAAUAAAAUAUGGCUCCUGCCGUAUUUUGUUGGUUUUGACUGGUGGGAGUAAUGAUUGAUAGGACGGUUGGGGGUGCUAGUAUUGAGCGGCCAGAGGUGAAAUUCAUGGAUUCGCUCAAGACUAACUUAUGCGAAAGCAUUCACCAAGGACGUCCUCUUUAAUCAAGAACGAAAGUUGGGGGAUCGAAGACGAUCAGAUACCGUCGUAGUCUCAACCAUAAACUAUGUCGACUUGGGAUCGGCGGUAGUUUUUUUCAUUAAGACACUGUCGGGACCACGGGAGAAAUCAAAGUGUCUGGACUCUGGGGGAAGUAUGGUCGCAAGGCUGAAACUUGAAGGAAUUGACGGAAGGGCACCACCAGGAGUGGAGCCUGCGGCUUAAUUUGACAACACGGGGAAACUUACCAGGUCCAGAGAUGUAGAGGAUUGACAGAUUGAAGCUCUUUCUUGAUCACUUCGGUGGUGGUGCAUGGCCGUUCUUAGUUGGUGGAGUGAUUUGUCUGGUUAAUUCCGUUAACGAACGAGACCUCAGCCUGCUAGUGUAGUCGGCUGGAUUGCCUUUGGCGAUCCGUGAUUUCGACUUCUUAGAGGGACAAUCGACGCGCAGUCGAUGGAAGUUUGAGGCAAUAACAGGUCUGUGAUGCCCUUAGAUGUUCUGGGCCGCACGCGCGCUACACUGCUGGGCUCAGCGAGUUUUACUUGGCCGAGAGGCCCGGUUAAUCUUGUGAAAUCCCAGCGUUCUUGGGCUCGCCUCCUGCAACUGGAGGCGCCAACGAGGAAUUCCUAGUAGACGCAGGUCAUCAACCUGCAUCGAUUACGUCCCUGCCCUUUGUACACACCGCCCGUCGUUCCAUAAGAGUGAGGCAUCCGGUGAAUUCUCGGGAGAGCCUGGGCGUGGCCAGCAAUGGUCUGCUCGGGUUUGAACUUGCAUAAACUUGGUGCCUAUGAUUAGGGAAAAGUCGUAACAAGGUUUCCGUAGGAACCUGCGGAAG
RNAcentral lists this ribosomal RNA (1331 nucleotides) under metagenome. RNAcentral's name for it is "SSU rRNA". It matches the Rfam family "Eukaryotic small subunit ribosomal RNA", at positions 495 to 1823 of the family's 1831-position model. The record is from RNAcentral.